Non-coding RNA from Hysterangium stoloniferum, 74 nucleotides. NCBI's taxonomy places the organism in Eukaryota, Fungi, Basidiomycota, Agaricomycetes, Hysterangiales, Hysterangiaceae. The record is from the annotation of a GenBank genome assembly.
GGUCCAGUAGCUCAGGUGGCAGAGCAUUGGCAUAUAUAGCCAGGAGGUCCUUGGUUGAAUCCCAGACUGGGUCA